ACCCGUCCCGUUCGUCCCCGGA
This 22-nucleotide microRNA is filed under the name Callithrix jacchus (white-tufted-ear marmoset). Its description in RNAcentral is "Cja-Mir-1247_5p (mature (guide))". The record is from RNAcentral. RNAcentral also lists the same sequence under 10 other names. Lineage: Eukaryota; Metazoa; Chordata; Mammalia; Primates; Cebidae.